GACGAACGCUGGCGGCGUGCUUAACACAUGCAAGUCGAACGGUGAAGCACCUUCCUUUUGGUGGGUGUGGAUGAGUGGCGAACGGGUGGGUAACACGUGAGUAACCUGCCCCCUUCUUCUGGAUAACCGCAUGAAAGUGUGGCUAAUACGGGAUAUUCUGGGUCUGUCGCAUGGCGGGCCUGGGAAAGAUAUUGUUUCGGUGGGGGAUGGGCUCGCGGUCUAUCAGCUUGUUGGUGGGGUGAUGGCCUACCAAGGCGGUGACGGGUAGCCGGCCUGAGAGGGUGGACGGUCACACUGGGACUGAGACACGGCCCAGACUCCUACGGGAGGCAGCAGUGGGGAAUAUUGCACAAUGGGCGCAAGCCUGAUGCAGCGACGCCGCGUGAGGGAUGGAGGCCUUCGGGUUGUAAACCUCUUUCGCCAGUGAAGCAGGCCUGUCCCUUUUGUGGGUGGGUUGACGGUAGCUGGAUAAGAAGCGCCGGCUAACUACGUG
This 493-nucleotide ribosomal RNA is filed under the name uncultured bacterium. RNAcentral's name for it is "partial 16S ribosomal RNA". It matches the Rfam family "Bacterial small subunit ribosomal RNA", at positions 28 to 507 of the family's 1533-position model. The record is from RNAcentral.